Long non-coding RNA from Limanda limanda (common dab), 526 nucleotides. RefSeq lists it as uncharacterized. Lineage: Eukaryota; Metazoa; Chordata; Actinopteri; Pleuronectiformes; Pleuronectidae. The record is from RefSeq and is a predicted model, not a curated record. The transcript has 3 exons.
AAAACGAGUCCGUAGAAGCUGCGUGCGUGCGUAAAAAACGACUAUAAUUCGGCCUUUAGCUGACGAACCUGGGAGAGAGCUUUGUGCGUUUGUACGAGAGAGAGAGCGGAGCUGCUUCAGCCGUGUAGGCCUAAGCCUCUGUUGGACUCCGAUUGUUUUUUUUGAUAGAUUGAUCAGAAUUCUGAACCCUUGGUGGUUCAGUGGCGAGCCAGGCGAUUGACAGCGGACGGAGAUCGGGUUCCACUCCGAAGACCAAAGACACAGAUACACUUGAUACAGAUAAGAACGUUCACCAUAAAACCUACCCGGGUAGUAGAAUGAACACAGGGUUGAAACCCCAUCUUCUGAUUUAGAAGAAAGGACACUUUUCUUUGAACUUUAUUUUAUUAUUUUAUUUUUAUUAUUUUAUUGAAAGAGCUCUAUUUUUGGUUCACUGUUCCUAUUUCCAUGCACUGUUGAAUGAUAAUUGUUGUGAGGCAAUAAAUGAUCACUCUUCAAUUUCCAGUCAGAGUCCGACUUUCUGAAC